GACGAACGCGGCGGCGUGCUUAACACAUGCAAGUCGAACGAAGAGCGAUGGAAGCUUGCUUCUAUCAAUCUUAGUGGCGAACGGGUGAGUAACGCGUAAUCAACCUGCCCUUCAGAGGGGAACAACAGUUGGAAACGACUGCUAAUACCGCAUACGAUCUGACCUCGGCAUCGAGGAUAGAUGAAAGGUGGCCUCUACAUGUAAGCUAUCACUGAAGGAGGGGAUUGCGUCUGAUUAGCUAGUUGGAGGGGUAACGGCCCACCAAGGCGAUGAUCAGUAGCCGGUCUGAGAGGAUGAACGGCCACAUUGGGACUGAGACACGGCCCAGACUCCUACGGGAGGCAGCAGUGGGGAAUCUUCCGCAAUGGACGAAAGUCUGACGGAGCAACGCCGCGUGAGUGAUGACGGCCUUCGGGUUGUAAAGCUCUGUUAAUCGGGACGAAAGGCCUUUCUUGUGAAUAAUGAGAAGGAAUGAC
RNAcentral lists this ribosomal RNA (476 nucleotides) under Veillonella parvula. Its description in RNAcentral is "bacterial SSU rRNA". It matches the Rfam family "Bacterial small subunit ribosomal RNA", at positions 28 to 473 of the family's 1533-position model. The record is from RNAcentral. Lineage: Bacteria; Bacillati; Bacillota; Negativicutes; Veillonellales; Veillonellaceae.